UUGAUAGAAGCCAAAGGUAGAGGCGUAUUACUGUUAAUAAUAUAACUGAAAGUUUUUCCUGUCAAG
This 66-nucleotide transfer RNA is filed under the name Carcinus maenas (green crab). RNAcentral's name for it is "tRNA-Asn". The record is from RNAcentral. Lineage: Eukaryota; Metazoa; Arthropoda; Malacostraca; Decapoda; Carcinidae.